AAGUUUUCUGAUUUUUUACUAUAUUUAUGGUUUGAUUUUUUUAUGUCAAUUUAUAUUUUUUAUUUGUUUUGCAAUUAAAUAUAUUUUAAGAUGGGUAUAGAUGAUGAUUGGUUUAAAAAUAUAUUUAAUUUCUUUCUUUCAAUUCUUAUUUUUCUAUUAAAAAAUUAAAAUAUUAUAAAUUUAUUUUUUUUAUUAAAAAAUUAUGUUUAAAUGCUUAGAUUUAUUUUAUUUUAUGCUUGAUUGCUUUUCAUUUACUUAUAGAUGUAUAUUAAUAAUCAAAGAAGGAAAAUAAAUAGUGAAGUUAUGACUGCAG
This 313-nucleotide long non-coding RNA is filed under the name Ricinus communis (castor bean). Its description in RNAcentral is "long non-coding RNA (RCOM_LNC003083)". The record is from RNAcentral. Lineage: Eukaryota; Viridiplantae; Streptophyta; Magnoliopsida; Malpighiales; Euphorbiaceae.